This 400-nucleotide ribosomal RNA is filed under the name uncultured bacterium. Its description in RNAcentral is "bacterial SSU rRNA". It matches the Rfam family "Bacterial small subunit ribosomal RNA", at positions 355 to 772 of the family's 1533-position model. The record is from RNAcentral.
UGGGGAAUAUUGGACAAUGGGCGCAGGCCUGAUCCAGCCAUGCCGCGUAAGUGAUGAAGGCCCUAGGGUUGUAAAGCUCUUUCACCGGUGAAGAUAAUGACGGUAACCGGAGAAGAAGCCCCGGCUAACUUCGUGCCAGCAGCCGCGGUAAUACGAAGGGGGCUAGCGUUGUUCGGAAUUACUGGGCGUAAAGCGCGCGUAGGCGGCUUUGUAAGUCAGAGGUGAAAGCCUGGAGCUCAACUCCAGAACUACCUUUGAGACUGCAUCGCUAGAAUCAUGGAGAGGUUAGUGGAAUUCCGAGUGUAGAGGUGAAAUUCGUAGAUAUUCGGAAGAACACCAGUGGCGAAGGCGACUAACUGGACAUGUAUUGACGCUGAGGUGCGAAAGCGUGGGGAGCAAA